RNAcentral lists this ribosomal RNA (497 nucleotides) under uncultured bacterium. RNAcentral's name for it is "partial 16S ribosomal RNA". It matches the Rfam family "Bacterial small subunit ribosomal RNA", at positions 28 to 507 of the family's 1533-position model. The record is from RNAcentral.
GAUGAACGCUGGCGGCGUGCCUAAUACAUGCAAGUCGAGCGAACAGACGAGGGGCUUGCUCCUCUGACGUUAGCGGCGGACGGGUGAGUAACACGUGGAUAACCUACCUAUAAGACUGGGAUAACUUCGGGAAACCGGAGCUAAUACCGGAUAAUAUAUUGAACCGCAUGGUUCAAUAGUGAAAGACGGUUUUGCUGUCACUUAUAGAUGGAUCCGCGCCGCAUUAGCUAGUUGGUAAGGUAACGGCUUACCAAGGCGACGAUGCGUAGCCGACCUGAGAGGGUGAUCAGCCACACUGGAACUGAGACACGGUCCAGACUCCUACGGGAGGCAGCAGUAGGGAAUCUUCCGCAAUGGGCGAAAGCCUGACGGAGCAACGCCGCGUGAGUGAUGAAGGUCUUCGGAUCGUAAAACUCUGUUAUUAGGGAAGAACAAAUGUGUAAGUAACUAUGCACGUCUUGACGGUACCUAAUCAGAAAGCCACGGCUAACUACGUG